This 440-nucleotide ribosomal RNA is filed under the name uncultured bacterium. RNAcentral describes it as "bacterial SSU rRNA". It matches the Rfam family "Bacterial small subunit ribosomal RNA", at positions 215 to 647 of the family's 1533-position model. The record is from RNAcentral.
GCACUAUUGGAGCGGCCGAUAUCGGAUUAGCUAGUUGGUGGGGUAAAGGCCUACCAAGGCGUCGAUCCGUAGCUGGUUUGAGAGGACGACCAGCCACACUGGGACUGAGACACGGCCCAGACUCCUACGGGAGGCAGCAGUGGGGAAUUUUGGACAAUGGGGGCAACCCUGAUCCAGCCAUCCCGCGUGUGCGAUGAAGGCCUUCGGGUUGUAAAGCACUUUUGGCAGGGAAGAAAAGGCUCUGGCUAAUACCUGGAGCUGCUGACGGUACCUGCAGAAUAAGCACCGGCUAACUACGUGCCAGCAGCCGCGGUAAUACGUAGGGUGCAAGCGUUAAUCGGAAUUACUGGGCGUAAAGCGUGCGCAGGCGGUUCGGCAAGAAGGAUGUGAAAUCCCAGGGCUUAACCUUGGAACUGCAUUCUUAACUGCCGGGCUAGAGU